Molecule: ribosomal RNA, 497 nt
Filed under: uncultured bacterium
Lineage: Bacteria
Description: partial 16S ribosomal RNA
Rfam family: Bacterial small subunit ribosomal RNA
Source: RNAcentral
GAUGAACGCUGGCGGCGUGCCUAAUACAUGCAAGUCGAGCGAACGGACGAGAAGCUUGCUUCUCUGAUGUUAGCGGCGGACGGGUGAGUAACACGUGGAUAACCUACCUAUAAGACUGGGAUAACUUCGGGAAACCGGAGCUAAUACCGGAUAAUAUUUUGAACCGCAUGGUUCAAAAGUGAAAGACGGUCUUGCUGUCACUUAUAGAUGGAUCCGCGCUGCAUUAGCUAGUUGGUAAGGUAACGGCUUACCAAGGCAACGAUGCAUAGCCGACCUGAGAGGGUGAUCGACCACACUGGAACUGAGACACGGUCCAGACUCCUACGGGAGGCAGCAGUAGGGAAUCUUCCGCAAUGGGCGAAAGCCUGACGGAGCCACGCCGCGUGAGUGAUGAAGGUCUUCGGAUCGUAAAACUCUGUUAUUAGGGAAGAACAUAUGUGUAAGUAACUGUGCACAUCUUGACGGUACCUAAUCAGAAAGCCACGGCUAACUACGUG